AUAAUAAUCAGAAUGAAGUAUCCGCUGUCAUAUCAGUUAUGUGCAAACUGCUGGAUGAUGACGGUAAGUCUAGUACAAUGCCCACAAGUGGUAUAUUAUGACACUAAUCCGAUAAAUCUGACUUAACUUGUAAGUUGUGUGUGUAUGCUUCGGGAUGCCAGAUUGUUACGUUGUUUUUUUUUUUCUUUUAAUGUCUUUUGAUUUUUAACGUUAGUUAAGAAGAGAGAGAUUUUUGCCGUGGAUGAUUGACUGGUGACGUCACGGAGCGUCAUUAUGUCGCAGAACUGUAAUGUCCUUUGCCCAUGAUGCAACAUGAGAGGCUCUCUCCUUUCCUAGAAAGCAUUACUAGUUUUGUAACGGUGUUAUGUUACGCGAAUUAGUAGUCCGCAUACCACGUCUUGGUUGUCGCUUAUUAGUGCGAGUUUUAUUAAAUAAAAUUUACAAAUUACAUCCGGCAAAACGUCAUUACGCGCCGUUUAAACUGUUUGAUUUGUGUAGGCCUAAAAAAAAAAAACUCUCUCCCAUCUGCGUGCUCGACUUCCCCUCAGCCCCCUUUGGUUUUAAGGAUGUCCCGCUAUGCACGGCAUGAGAGAGAGAGAGAACUUCUAGCAAAGAAAGUCCUUUUUGAAAAGAAGGGAGGGAAGUUUGUAAGCAACGCCCGUACACAGUUUUAUUCGAAUCGAUUUUUCUCUCUCUCUCUCGAUUUUUUUUUUUCAUCGAGGAAUAACGAAUAUUUGUUUUCGGAUUAUAGCGAUUUAUCCGAUACGAUCGAGCAAAAUUCGAAGUUUUCUCGUUUAAGAAACACGGAGAUAGUUUAGCAGAGAAGAGUGUUGACGGAAGUAUCUCUAGGGAGUUUGGAAGAUUUUUUAAAAGGCUUUUUUUUCGACACGUUGCUCCGGCAUUAAAUUAUUUCUGUAAUUCAGCAUUUUGAGCAUCUGCUGGGGAUGAUAUGGUCCCCUUCGGGCAAUCAGUAAGUAGCAAGGCCGUGGGAUAGGGACGCCGUAUACUCCCCACCCUGAUUGGUUCAAGGGAUGCUGCUGGCGGUAAUACUCUGGGGGCCUUUUUAGGGAUGUGUAUAUGUGGCUCACUGAAAGAGCUUGGGACAUCUGUCCGAAAACCGGAGAAACCAAAUCAAAACGUUGGCUUUAUCUAUUCCCUUCGUUUUUUCUACACGUCCCUGGAUACAUAUCCGUGCCCUUAUGGAGUAUCUGCCAUUCGCUUCCGUUACUCAUCUACAGAUAAAUUCUGCCAUUUGGAAUUACUCAGUGUCACUAUCAGUAAGUAGUUCGAAAUUUCGUCUUCUCGGAGCCGUUUUAUUUAUUUUUUUCUCUCCACCAUUGCGCGUUGCUGGUUAUCAGAGAGAGAGAGAGAGAGAGGUGGGUCUUCGACGUGUAGCCUUAUGGCACCCGGGCCUAAAUUUCGAGCGAAUAUUAAACUCGUUUUAUUAUUUAAUUAAAAGCGUUUAUUAGCUAUCUAAAAGUAGAAUCGGCGGAGGAAUAGCGAUAAACAGCGGUUUUUUUUCCCGUCAAUAUCGUAAAUUUCGUCGACUUUUUUUUUUUGCUUAUUUCGGGGUGUUAAUAUGCCAGUAACGUUGGCGGUUACAAAGAACGUUGCCCCAUACCGAAGUGAGUUACGUCACGAACUGCUUCAAAUUCGUCGGUUUGUCGCACUAUAGAUUACGCAUGCGCCGUGGCAGCCGGGUCGCACUUCCAUACUCGUCAGGGUUCACUAAUCGUCGAGGAAUAAAUACAGAACGUCUUUGCAUCGCUGCUACCCGCCCUCGGGCCCUUAUUCACAUUCGAGUAACUCGUCUCGGGGUCUAAAGUCGUAUCCGUUUUUUUAUUCCGCUAUGUGCUGGCACAAUAAAAAAAAAGAAAGAAAAAAAAACUGUAGAUCAGUUUCUCUAACGUGGCAAACCAGAGGCCUCAGCUUAGGCUUUAUCGCAGUUUUAGAAAAGCUCUAACACUCAUUAAUUACUUCUUAUUUUCACGUUUUAAAGCCGAUUUUUAGUAAAUAUUCUAAUGGGAAGUUUCUUAAUCCUUUAUACGGCUUUUUCAGUUUAAAACUUGGCCAUUUUUUUUGCGCUAAGUUUAUGCAAAUCUCGGCGCAAACAUGCAAUUAAAGUAUAUGCCGCUCGAAUUUUUAAUGAAUUAUUCACUUAAAGUAUCCCGAGACGUUAACGAAAAAAAAAAAAAAAAAUUUU
This 2203-nucleotide long non-coding RNA is filed under the name Androctonus crassicauda. The record is from RNAcentral. Lineage: Eukaryota; Metazoa; Arthropoda; Arachnida; Scorpiones; Buthidae.